This 433-nucleotide ribosomal RNA is filed under the name uncultured bacterium. Its description in RNAcentral is "partial 16S ribosomal RNA". It matches the Rfam family "Bacterial small subunit ribosomal RNA", at positions 29 to 507 of the family's 1533-position model. The record is from RNAcentral.
AACGAACGCUGGCGGCAUGCCUAACACAUGCAAGUCGAACGAGACCUUCGGGUCUAGUGGCGCACGGGUGCGUAACGCGUGGGAACCUGCCCUUAGGUUCGGAAUAACUCCCCGAAAGGGGUGCUAAUACCGGAUAAUGUCUUCGGACCAAAGAUUUAUCGCCUUUGGAUGGGCCUGCGUUGGAUUAGCUAGUUGGUAGGGUAAAAGCCUACCAAGGCGACGAUCCAUAGCUGGUCUGAGAGGAUGACCAGCCACACUGGGACUGAGACACGGCCCAGACUCCUACGGGAGGCAGCAGUGGGGAAUAUUGGACAAUGGGCGAAAGCCUGAUCCAGCAAUGCCGCGUGAGUGAUGAAGGCCUUAGGGUUGUAAAGCUCUUUUACCCGGGAUGAUAAUGACAGUACCGGGAGAAUAAGCUCCGGCUAACUCCGUG